Molecule: long non-coding RNA, 216 nt
Filed under: Lathyrus oleraceus (garden pea)
Lineage: Eukaryota; Viridiplantae; Streptophyta; Magnoliopsida; Fabales; Fabaceae
Description: Pisum sativum (pea) long non-coding RNA (PSAT_LNC005137)
Source: RNAcentral
UGAUCAUGUUCUAAUAAAGUCAAUCAUAGAAAUCACAACCCAUAUAUUAGAUGACUUUUCAUGUUGUAACUUGGCUUAUAUUAGGGUAGAAUAUUUUUAGAAAAGUAGGGUUAAACCUUUGGAGUUGGGUUCUUAGUUCUCCUUCUACCAUUAUACCUCUUUGUUCCUUUUUGCUAGUACUAGAGAGUUUUUAUCCUUCUUACAAUAUCAUUCUUU